RNAcentral lists this ribosomal RNA (250 nucleotides) under uncultured bacterium. Its description in RNAcentral is "partial 16S ribosomal RNA". It matches the Rfam family "Bacterial small subunit ribosomal RNA", at positions 524 to 773 of the family's 1533-position model. The record is from RNAcentral.
UACGGAGGGUGCGAGCGUUAAUCGGAAUUACUGGGCGUAAAGCGUGCGUAGGCGGCUCGUUAAGUCAGAUGUGAAAGCCCCGGGCUUAACCUGGGAACGGCAUUUGAUACUGUCGAGCUAGAGUUUACUAGAGGGGAGUGGAAUUUCCGGUGUAGCGGUGAAAUGCGUAGAGAUCGGAAGGAACACCAGUGGCGAAGGCGACUCCCUGGAGUAACACUGACGCUGAGGUACGAAAGCGUGGGUAGCAAAC